UACGGAGGGUGCAAGCGUUGCUCGGAAUUAUUGGGCGUAAAGGGCAGGUAGGUGGUCUCGUUUGUCUGGGGUGAAAGCCCUGAGCUUAACUCAGGAAGUGCCUCAGAAACGGCGAGACUAGAAUUCUAGAGAGGGUAGCGGAAUUCCCGGUGUAGCGGUGAAAUGCGUAGAGAUCGGGAGGAACACCAGCGGCGAAAGCGGCUACCUGGAUAGAUAUUGACACUCAACUGCGAAAGCGUGGGGAGCAAACAGG
This 253-nucleotide ribosomal RNA is filed under the name uncultured bacterium. RNAcentral's name for it is "partial 16S ribosomal RNA". It matches the Rfam family "Bacterial small subunit ribosomal RNA", at positions 524 to 776 of the family's 1533-position model. The record is from RNAcentral.